Eriocheir sinensis (Chinese mitten crab) is the source of this 349-nucleotide long non-coding RNA. RefSeq lists it as uncharacterized. The record is from RefSeq and is a predicted model, not a curated record. The transcript has 2 exons. Lineage: Eukaryota; Metazoa; Arthropoda; Malacostraca; Decapoda; Varunidae.
CCUUCUUGAAACCCUGGCCAAAAAGUUUGAAAUAGCUUGUUCUUCGCCACAUUUCAGUAUAUAAGACAUCUAAGUGCAUAAAAAUCCAUAAAGCGUUGAGUGGUGGGAAGGAAAUCAAACAAACUCUUCCCUCUCCGAAAUGUUAAAGGUAGCUGGGACCCUACAAACUGCUGUAUUAUUUAUUGCAGUGUACAAUGGACUCACUCCAUCACCAUCAGAAAUCUCUUGGUACAUAGCGAUAUAAACCACACUCUACAGAAACCCUGUCAUCUGUCUGCAGCUGACUGCAUGUGGAGGAAGGAAAGUCGAAGCCUUGCCUGCAGUGCGCUCAAAUUCCCAACCAUGACAA